RNAcentral lists this ribosomal RNA (468 nucleotides) under uncultured bacterium. RNAcentral describes it as "partial 16S ribosomal RNA". It matches the Rfam family "Bacterial small subunit ribosomal RNA", at positions 28 to 507 of the family's 1533-position model. The record is from RNAcentral.
GACGAACGCUGGCGGCGUGCUUAACACAUGCAAGUCGAACGGAAAGGCCCUGCUUUUGUGGGGUGCUCGAGUGGCGAACGGGUGAGUAACACGUGAGUAACCUGCACUUGACUUUGGGAUAACUUCAGGAAACUGGGGCUAAUACCGGAUAGGAGCUCCUGCUGCAUGGUGGGGGUUGGAAAGUUUCGGCGGUUGGGGCUGGACUCGCGGGUUAUGAGCUUGUUGGUGGGGUAGUGGCUUACCAAGGCUUUGAAGGGUAGCCGGCCUGAGAGGGGGAACGGCCUCAUUGGGCCUGAGAGACGGCGCAGUCGCCUACGUGCGGCAGUAGGGGGGAACCUUGCACAAUGGGCGGAAGCCUGAGGCAGCAACGCCGCGUGCGGGAUGACGUCUUUCGGGGUGUAAACCGCUUUCUCCGGUGACGAAGCGUGAGUGACGGUAAUGGGUAAAGAAGCACCGGCUAACUACGUG